GAAGAGAGAGUUCAAGAGUACGUGAAACCAUUAGUAGCUCAUACAGGUGGAACCGUGGAGGUCGAAAGAGGGGUUUCAGCUGGUGGGCAUUCGGCCUGGGGAGCGGUACAAGUUGCAUUACAGCGAGAGGACCCGGUGUGAAAGGUGAGUUGCCGUGGCCCUACUCUCCCGUGGCCCGGGUGCUUGAGGGCUUAAUUCUCCCUUGAGUAGUGGUCGUGGCAACCCGCUGGUAGGACCCCGAGGUCUGCCCCGGACUGGUAGCCUGCACAGCUGUGUAGGUGAUGACAGGCAGUGGCGCCGACUGGGCCUGGGCGGCGGUCACUACAGGUCGCCGAGCUAGAGGGAUCUGUAAUCCACCUGACCCGUCUUUAAACACGGACCAAGGAGUCCAACAUGUGCAUGAGUCUAAGGGUGUGCUAAACCCAGAGGUGAAAUGAAAGUGAGCCCCUGUUGGGCAGGCCGAUCCUCUGCCCGCAUCUGGCCGUGCGUGCCGCCAGUGAGAGAUUUUCUGCUGUGCUGCGGGUGCCAGGCUGGGCGGCCGGCCCUUCACGUGGUUGGUCAAACAGCGGUUGGGGGCGCAGGGCUAAGACUUGCUGUUGUGCGGUGUGGGCCAUGUGGGUGCCCUUGGGCAUCCUGCACUCCGACAUCCGCUGGCAAGUACCUGAGAGUGCAGCCGUUGGGACUGAAAGAUGGUGAACUUUGCCUGGCGAGAACAAAGCCCUAGGAAACUGGUUGAGGUCCGAAGUAGUUCUGACUUUCAAAUAAAAUGGCAGAGCUAGGUAUAGUAGCUGGUUCCCUCCGAAGUUUCCCUCAGGAUAGUUGGCUUUCUUUUUGAUGAGUUUCAUCUGGUAAAGGGAAUGAUUAGAGGCCUUGGUGGUGCAAUGCCGUCAACCUAUUUUUAAACUUUAAAUGGGUGGGAGGUGGAGUUCACUUAACCCAUGAAACUCUGAUGGGGGAAUCAGAGUGCCUAGUGGGCCUACUUGGUAAGCAGAACUGGCGCUG
This 1002-nucleotide ribosomal RNA is filed under the name Palaemon concinnus. RNAcentral describes it as "partial 28S ribosomal RNA". It matches the Rfam family "Eukaryotic large subunit ribosomal RNA", at positions 378 to 1158 of the family's 3401-position model. Lineage: Eukaryota; Metazoa; Arthropoda; Malacostraca; Decapoda; Palaemonidae. The record is from RNAcentral.